GUGACAGAAGCCGUUUGAAACUUGAGUAACUCUGACAUUAAUCUCGAGAUGUGUGGUACCUAUAUAAAUGGUCACAGAAGCCGUUUGAAACUUGAGUAACUCUGACAUUAAUCUCGAGAUGUGUGGUACCUAUAUAAGUGGUGACAGAAGCCGUUUGAAACUUGAGUAACUCUGACAUUAAUCUCGAGAUGUGUGGUACCUAUAUACAAGUGGUCACAGAAGCCGUUUGAAACUUGAUUGAAACUCUGACAUU
Haliotis rubra (blacklip abalone) is the source of this 253-nucleotide long non-coding RNA. RefSeq lists it as uncharacterized. Lineage: Eukaryota; Metazoa; Mollusca; Gastropoda; Lepetellida; Haliotidae. The transcript has 3 exons. The record is from RefSeq and is a predicted model, not a curated record.